UACAGAGGGUGCGAGCGUUGUCCGGAAUCACUGGGCGUAAAGGGCGCGUAGGUGGCCUGAUAAGUAGGGGGUGAAAUCUCGAGGCUCAACUUCGAGGCUGCCUCCUAAACUGUCAGGCUUGAGCAGAGUAGAGGCAGGUGGAAUUCCCGGUGUAGCGGUGGAAUGCGUAGAUAUCUGGAGGAACACCGGUGGCGAAGGCGGCAUCCUGGACCGAUACUGACGCUGAGGAGCGAAAGCCAGGGGAGCAAACGGG
Molecule: ribosomal RNA, 253 nt
Filed under: uncultured bacterium
Lineage: Bacteria
Description: partial 16S ribosomal RNA
Rfam family: Bacterial small subunit ribosomal RNA
Source: RNAcentral